GUUGGUGUUGAUUGCGGUGAGGGUCCGCCCGUUCCCAUCCCGAACACGGAAGUUAAGCUCACCUGCGCCGAAAAUACUUGUCUGGAGACGGACCGGGAAGAUAGGUAACGCCGACA
RNAcentral lists this ribosomal RNA (116 nucleotides) under Flavonifractor plautii. The record is from RNAcentral. Lineage: Bacteria; Bacillati; Bacillota; Clostridia; Eubacteriales; Oscillospiraceae.